RNAcentral lists this transfer RNA (54 nucleotides) under Parachtes limbarae. Its description in RNAcentral is "tRNA-Asp". The record is from RNAcentral. Lineage: Eukaryota; Metazoa; Arthropoda; Arachnida; Araneae; Dysderidae.
CGUAUUUAGGUUAUUUAAUAUAAGCUUGUCAGGUUUAAGAAGAUUUAAUUCCUC